UACAGAGGGGGCAAGCGUUAUUCGGAAUUAUUGGGCGUAAAGGGCGCGUAGGCGGCAUGGCAAGUGGAUGGUGAAAUCCCUCGGCUUAACCGAGGAACUGCCGUCCAAACUGCUUCGCUUGAGACCGGGAGAGGUGAGUGGAAUUCCCAGUGUAGCGGUGAAAUGCGUAGAUAUUGGGGAGGAACACCAGUGGCGAAGGCGGCUCACUGGACCGGUACUGACGCUGAUGCGCGAAAGCGUGGGGAGCAAACGGGG
RNAcentral lists this ribosomal RNA (255 nucleotides) under uncultured bacterium. RNAcentral describes it as "partial 16S ribosomal RNA". It matches the Rfam family "Bacterial small subunit ribosomal RNA", at positions 524 to 777 of the family's 1533-position model. The record is from RNAcentral.